Molecule: unclassified non-coding RNA, 211 nt
Filed under: plant metagenome
Description: partial contains small subunit ribosomal RNA and internal transcribed spacer 1
Rfam family: Eukaryotic small subunit ribosomal RNA (bases 1-46)
Source: RNAcentral
AAGUCGUAACAAGGUCUCCGUAGGUGAACCUGCGGAGGGAUCAUUACAAGUGACCCCGGUCUUGACCACCGGGAUGUUCAUAAGCCCUUUGUUGUCCGCAUCUCCUGUUGCCUCCGGGGCGGACCCUCGCCUUCCUGGGGCGGGGGCUCCGGUGGACACUUCAAACUCUUGCGUAACUUUGCAGUCUGAGUAAACUUAUUAAUAAAUUAAA